CGGANGGCAGCACGCCUGACCACUGAAUGCAUUGGGGACUUUGAGCAGGGCCGAGCGGGCGGCCACGGAGGUGGCGGCGGGCCGUGGGGUCUUGGCAGUGCAUUGAGUGGUCAGGUGGUGGCGAGUGGCGAACGGGUGAGUAAUGCAUCGGAACGUACCCAGUGGUGGGGGACAACCCCGAGAAAUCGGGGCUAAUACCGCAUACGCUCGGGAGAGGAAAGCGGGGGACCUGGUGACGGGCCUCGCGCCAUUGGAGCGGCCGAUGUCGGAUUAGCUGGUUGGUGGGGUAAUGGCCCACCAAGGCGACGAUCCGUAGCUGGUCUGAGAGGACGGCCAGCCACACUGGGACUGAGACACGGCCCAGACUCCUACGGGAGGCAGCAGUGAGGAAUUUUGGACAAUGGGGGCAACCCUGAUCCAGCCAUGCCGCGUGGGUGAAGAAGGCCUUCGGGUUGUAAAGCCCUUUCGGCGGGGACGAAAUCGCGGGGGUGAGAAGCCUUCGUGGAUGACGGUACUCGCAGAAGAAGCACCGGCUAACUACGUGCCAGCAGCCGCGGUAAUACGUAGGGUGCGAGCGUUAAUCGGAAUUACUGGGCGUAAAGCGUGCGCAGGCGGCCCUUUAAGUCAGGUGUGAAAGCCCUGGGCUUAACCUAGGAAUGGCGCUUGAAACUGGGGGGCUAGAGUGCGGCAGAGGGGGGUGGAAUUCCUGGUGUAGCGGUGANNUGCGUANAGAUCANGAGGAACACCGAUGGCGGANGCAGCCCCCUGGGUCGACACUGACGCUCNNNNCGAAAGCGUGGGGANCAAACAGGAUUANNUACCCUGGNNAUCCACGCCCUAAACGAUGUCNAC
RNAcentral lists this ribosomal RNA (852 nucleotides) under uncultured bacterium. RNAcentral describes it as "bacterial SSU rRNA". It matches the Rfam family "Bacterial small subunit ribosomal RNA", at positions 63 to 816 of the family's 1533-position model. The record is from RNAcentral.